AGAAAAGCAGAAAUGAGAGAGGGGAAAGAAAGGGCGAAAGAGGUAGAAGGAGUGGUGGGAAAUGGGUGCUUGGGCAAAGCUACAAGAAGAAGAAUCAGUCUUCGUGCCUUUACCCAACCCACCCAUGCCUGUCGUUUCUUCUGCUUCCUCUCUUUCCACUCCCCUCUUCACUCUAACUCUUCUCUUUCCUUCAUUUUUUAUGAUUAUGCAGAUUAUCUUCCAACACGUAAAUCAAAGGGACUAAGAGGUUCCUAGGAGCAGUUUGAGUGCUUACAACCAAAAUUAUGAACUGAAAAUUUUGCAUCUCCUACUAAAUCUGAUGGCAACGUUGCAUCUUAGAGGAAGAAGAAAAUCAAUAAGCCUCCCCUGUUCAUGUCAAGGCCCGAAGUAUUUGUUGCAUUUUAUGCUUUCUUACUCUAUGUUUGGUACCAUGUUAGUUCAAACUUCCCCUGAAAACGGUGGUACUCCAGUGUUGCCGAUGGUGAUGGUGGCGGGGAAGCAGUGGCAACGAUUAAACAGUGAGGGUGAUAUUGUUGUUGGCCUCAUUAUUUACUGCAAUUGACUUCACACGAGAAUGCGGUGGUGGGGAGGCAGCUUGAUCGAUGUUAGAGAGGAACUAGUGAUGCUUUCUUACUUUUGUUUGAAUUUCCUUAAUUAUUCUUUUGUCUAUCCUUUGAUGAUAUUGUUGAACAUGUCAGAAUGGGGCUGAGUAUAAACUUGCAUGUGGGCCAAAAGCAUUCGUUGCUGUAUCAAAUCCUAUAGUUGUAAGACAUAUUCUGUGAGAAAAAUGCAUUUGUUUUAUGGCAAGGUACCAUCUUAGAUCUGUUUGCCCCUUUUUUAUAAAUACGUUGAGUUUCUUUUAGCUCUUGGAAAUACAUUGGUAGCCUCAAGACAAUAUAUGAGGUCAAGUGAUUUACAACCUUUUAGUGAUCCAUUUUUUAUUUCACUGUUUCGAACAAUUAAGUAAUGUGUAAUGUGGCUCAAGUUCAUAGGGGAUAAAUUUGUGGCUAUUGGAGAUGAUUAAAGACAACUAAAGACAGUGAAAGUGGUGCUACGCUCUUUGAUCUCUCAAUGAAGUAUUGUUUAUACAAGAAAUUGUAUAGGUCACUUCAGUGAGAGAGAAGAAAAUUUCAUUUCAAUUGAUAGAGAAACAGAGGUGGGGCUUCUGGUGCAUUUCAUUGAAAAUAUUUUCUUAUAUAUUGCUUUAGUUUUGAUGUAUAGCUUUGCCGGCAUUUUGUGGGAAUAAUUUCAACUGGAUGCGAUCUUCUUUCCUAACGUUGAAACUCUUGUGAAUAUUGUAUUUCAUGUUACCUGAAUCCAUUAAUCUUGGAGAGCAUGUUAGAAUUUAUCUCUAAAACAGUUUGAUUGUGAUGAAUUGACGUCACGGGCAAGAGAAAAUUUUUAUUCUUUAAUUCACUACAUGAUUGCACCUUCUGUAAAAGUUUAUGAAACCAAACUGUUAUUUAGUUAUUAUGUUCCAUGUCUGCAUAUAGUAAUGAUUACGUAGCAGGCUUUGGUAUUUUCAGUUUAUGUCAAAAUACAUUUUAAGUUCCAAUUUGUGCCGUUAUAAUGAAAGCAUAUUCUUUAGUUUACGUAGCUAUAUUAUAGUUCCUUACUUUGUUUUCUUUAUCAAACUCUUUUAGUGAAUGUUUUGUUGCUGUAUUUGUUCCAAAAAAAGUUCUUGUAAUUGACUUCAAAAUUUUACUUGCUGCUUCUUUUCAUUUUUCAUAUCUUUGUACUGAAGAACAAAAAAGUAUAUUCAAUAUGCCUUCUUUAUGCUCUUGUGCUUUGUGUGACAUGUAACAAUUAUUUAUUUAUUUGGUGUGCUCUGUUCUCCUUUUUUAUAUUGUCCAUUUUUAUUUCCCAUCCUUCUAUAAUCUUAAAUGUUUUUCAUACUGUGCUACCUUGUAUAGAUGAUGUCAUUUCUUCUUGUCAAUUUUCUGUUUGAAGUGAUUAAAAUCUGGAGAUGCUUUCAAUUGCACCUAUACAUGGUAACCAAAUAUGAUUGAUGCAUAUCUGCUAUAAAAUUUGAUAUCAUCUGGUGCUUCAAUGGUCUAUCACAAUAUUGUUAAUUAUUAUAUAUUGAUUUUUACAUUUUAUGCAACGUGCAGGGACUCAAAUAUCGGACUGUUUUUCUUAACAGCAACAAUUUUGAGGAAACUUCUUUCUUUCAAACCUUAGAAUGUACUCUUCGCAUCUAUUGCCUCUCUUUUAUGAAAGUUUUAUCUGCUCUUGAUCCCUAAAGAAGAAAGUAAGGAAGCAGAUGAAAACUCAAAAAAGAGUAUUAGCACUUUUGUUGUUGGGGAUUUAUGCAUAUAGAUUGACUAGCUAUGUAUAUGCUGCAAGGGUCUUCUGGAACCCACCUUUUAUGAGAUCCUUUCUACAAGGAGGGCUCUUCUUCAGCUUACCAAGAGGCAUUAAUAUGAGACCAGUAGCUUGAAGUGCCUUGCUUUUGUAGUUUUAGGUCCUUUUGUUUGUGUUAAAUUAUGGAAUUAAGUUUAUGUAGGAAGUUUUCUGUAUUUUCUUUUCUGGGGCUAUGUAGGGCAAAAUCACCUAUUGUCCCCAAUGGAUAUAAGCAUUUGGCUCUUUGGCCUUUUGAAUAAUCAUGUAUUAGGUUGUAAAGUUAAGACAUAGCAAUUCAAUAUUAUUGUCUUAACAAGUCUAUUGAUGGAGAAAAAUUAAGAGAAAAAUAAAAGGAUUACAAAAUUGAAGAUCCAA
Molecule: long non-coding RNA, 2718 nt
Organism: Prosopis cineraria
Lineage: Eukaryota; Viridiplantae; Streptophyta; Magnoliopsida; Fabales; Fabaceae
Exons: 4
Source: RefSeq, a predicted model, not a curated record